GAUUUUUAAUUCCGAUGUUCUGAUUGUUGUUUUUGACUUUUGAUGUUCUAGAAAGCACACGGAUGCAUCUGUACUUCCCCCUCCCUGGCCCAUGGUGUUUGAAAUCCCUACCAUUCGCCCUCCAUUCUCAAGAUCUAUGUGGACAUGCCAGAUUACAGACAGAAGUUAAGGAUUUAAGAUUAGAUGGCUUAAUCAAAGAAUGCUUGUCUAAGAAAGUUCUAGGGAUAACUAACCAAACCAACCUAAUGAAUUUCUGAUUUCCAUUGGCAUCCUGUCUCUUUCUGCCCUUCAUGUUUUGUUUGGGGGUUUUUCUGUUGCUGUUGUUAUUGUUUCCUUUAUAGAAUGAGACCACCUUCCAUCUCUGUAUAUUCAAAUCCCACCAGUUUCGAACUCCACUGUUAAGUGCUGGCUUGUCCUUGAAACCAUCCCGCUAGCCUCAGCUGGAAAAAGCAGCCUCCUCCUCAGUGAUGGAGCCCUAACCUAAGCAGGAAAAAGCAGCCCCUCCCAAGUGGUGGACUGCCCACCUCGGUGUGUUCUCCCCACGCUCAGUCUUGCCAGCAGACACGCUCCGCUGCAGGCUGUUUCCCUGCAGGACGCCUGAUGGGUUUAUCUUUUGUGUUCUCCACAGCUGUUGCUUAUUGUGGCUUAGCCUUCUGCAUCUGAGAAGUAGGCACGGUUAGUGUUUGAAAAGAACCAGGGCAGAAAUUACAGGCCAAAGAAAUGGCUAAAGUGGUUCUCAAAGUGUGGUCCCUGGACCACACUGUCAGCCUCACCUGGGAACUUAGCAGAAGUGCAAAUACUCGGGACCUUCAGACUCAGAAACUCUGGGGGAGGAACCCAGGAAAACGUGUCUGUACAAGCUCUCUAGAUGCUGCUGCACUAAGAGUUUGAGAAGUUUGAGAACCACGGGACUAGAGGAGGGUCUUCAACUACUGACUGAGGAGUGAACGACCCUGGUUUUCUAAGAGCAGGAUGGAAGACCAGGUGGCAAUCAAGGUGAGAACACUGGAGUUCAGACUGGCUGGAAACUGUGCUAAAGUCGGGAUCUGGUUCCAAAUCCUGCCUCUGAGCCUGGGCUUGAUUCCUCAGCUCCACUCUGCGUCCUGCACCUCCCUCCAGAUUAGGACACUCGACGGCAUCCUCCUCCCACAGGCUGAUAGCUGCAUAGUAAGAAGAAAAGAGAGGAAGACCAGAAGAAAUCCAGAGAAGAAUUGCCAUGAGCCCUGUUCCAAGAAAGAACAUAGAAAAAUCCAGAAGUAUCGCUGUGUAACCACUUUGCCGCUUUGCAAAAGUAUUUUAAUGCACUGUACCUGGAAACUGACAGCUUAGAUGGAAACCUUUUACGAGACUCACAGCUAAAAUUAGCAGCUUCAAGUGGGUGACUUUGAAAGGGACACAACUGCAAAUACUCACUCCCUACUGAGCGUUAUAAUCCUCAAAAGCGAAUUGUUUUAACACAGCACAGCGUGUGUGUCGCUAUGUUUGGGUGGAAUGUAACUUCUCACAAGAUGAAAAAUCAUCAUCUAAAUUAUUAGGUAUCAAGGGUACUGUUGAUGUGCUCUGUUUAUUUCACUUGUACCUUCAUUUGAGAAGAAAGAUACUGAAAACUCAGAGACUUUAAAAUAAUGACUGUCUCUUGGGGAACACGUUUCCAUUAAAUGCAACAGAAUGUAGAAAUCACCACGUAUUUGUGAAUGUGGAUAUCCACUGGUUUUAUUUAAAGCCUGAUCCUCUUCACAGCAGAAAGUCAUUUCCAGAUAAGAGGAGAUAAUGUUAAGGUGACAGUGAAGAGAAAAAGAGGUUGUGAUGAUAAAAAAGUAAAAGUAUCACACAUAGCAUGACAGGAUAAACCCAACAGAGUAGACAAAUGUGAUGUGAUCUUGAAAGAAGAGUUGCCUGGGAAUUCUUAAAUGGAAAAGUUGACAUUAUGAAAUUUAAUUUUGGUCUUCACAAACAAUUUGAAAGACAAGCUCCCUCAACUCCUACCAUCCACCCCCUAGCAAAAUAAAUUUAAGGAGCAGAGAAUUUAAAUAUAUAUA
This 2039-nucleotide long non-coding RNA is filed under the name Bos indicus x Bos taurus (hybrid cattle). RNAcentral's name for it is "lncRNA (ENSBIXG00005022801.1)". Lineage: Eukaryota; Metazoa; Chordata; Mammalia; Artiodactyla; Bovidae. The record is from RNAcentral.